RNAcentral lists this long non-coding RNA (1412 nucleotides) under Helianthus annuus (common sunflower). The record is from RNAcentral. Lineage: Eukaryota; Viridiplantae; Streptophyta; Magnoliopsida; Asterales; Asteraceae.
CUCUCUCUCUUCUCUCUCUCUUCUCUCUCUCUAUCAACAGAUCCAAAAUUUCAGACACCUCGCCUUGAAUACCUGAUGUUAUUUCAAAUUUCAAAUCCCUCAACAAAACCACACCUCCGACCUUCUGCUAUCUGCUGGAGAUCAAACAUCACCACCGUCCCCAGUCCUCACCAGCAAGAUCAGAUAGAAAUAGCAUGGCCAAGAAAAAUGUCGAUGGAUUUUUAGGGCUUCGUGUUAAAAUCCCCUGUCGUGUUCUAAGUGCCAGAUUUAGGGUUUCGGUGAGGUUUUGGCCUCCUUGAUUUCGCGUUGCAUUUUACAUCGAUGUUUAGAUCCGUCUCUCGCGAGUUCGUUCCACAAGUUGAAAUUCUGAUGACAAGAUUGGGACAUCUUCAGCGAGAUUAUCGGGAAGACCAAUGUUGUGACCACACCUAGAGUGGUUCGGACCUGCUGGUAAUGGGUUUGUUAGGGUCAGUGCCUUUGAAUUUGCAGGUUUUUGACUUUAAUCGUUUCGACAGAGGUUGCAUGCUAUCUCAUAUUUGUGGUUCUUGACUUUAAUCAUUUUGACUUUAUUUGGUGCAUGUUUUAACUUUCGUUAAUAAUAUCAUCAGGAUGGGGUGUUCAGGAUUGACUGUUUGGAAUUAGAGAACAAAGAGGGCUUUGAUUAAAUUAGAAGACAGUGACUCUAAUGAGACGAUCAAGCAAAUUAUGUCAUUCACAUUGAUAGAAAAGGGUGCAAUUUUGAGGGAAAUACUUCUUCAAGGCUCAAGCAUCCGUUAACUAAAUACAUUGGGGCCUGAAUUUUCCUUGGUUUCAUAAAAUGUAUAAAAGAUAGUAGAGGGCCAGUUUGAGUUAUCCAGAAAUAUGUACAAGCCUACGCCUCUGGUUGAAGAGUAAGCAACUUUUGAGACUUUCCUCAUGUGGUGAUUAUCUAAUGAACAUAUCCCAGGGCAUCUUUGAGCAUCAUAUUAUGGAAACUGUUACAGCUGCAGGUAAGUCUAAAUUUCGCCGAAAUUACCAAGGAAACGACUUGGCCCCCUUUAUACUUUCCAGUUUUAAAGGCAAGAGAAGUGUUCUAAAGGUAAAACACUGCACGGAUGCUAUGAUUCUGGAAACAUCAAAUAAGUUUCUUACUGGGUGGAUCGUUAGGAGGGAUAUGGUUGGGUUGAAUAUGGAGUCAUAGUGCAGCUAUGUUAGUCUGAUGUAUAAUUAGUUUAUUUUUUAAUUCGGAGAUAUUUUGUGAGUGGCUUGCUAAGUUCUGUUUUGGUGUUUAUAUAUUUCUUUCUUUGGCUGGGCAAAAACAUGGAUGAAGGAAAGUCGAAGUCAUCACUGUAACCUUUUUUCCAUUCCCAUGUAUUGAUGACAUGAAUAUUUUAUUAAGAAGGAAGAACUUUUUUUAUAAUAGUUAAAUAGAU